This 478-nucleotide ribosomal RNA is filed under the name uncultured bacterium. RNAcentral describes it as "partial 16S ribosomal RNA". It matches the Rfam family "Bacterial small subunit ribosomal RNA", at positions 28 to 523 of the family's 1533-position model. The record is from RNAcentral.
GACGAACGCUGGCGGCGUGCUUAACACAUGCAAGUCGAACGGUAAGGCCCUUCGGGGUACACGAGUGGCGAACGGGUGAGUAACACGUGGGUGAUCUGCCCUGCACUUCGGGAUAGGCCUGGGAAACUGGGUCUAAUACCGGAUAGGACCACUGCCUGCAUGGGUGGUGGUGGAAAGCUUUUGCGGUGUGGGAUGGGCCCGCGGCCUAUCAGCUUGUUGGUGGGGUGAUGGCCUACCAAGGCGACGACGGGUAGCCGGCCUGAGAGGGUGACCGGCCACACUGGGACUGAGAUACGGCCCAGACUCCUACGGGAGGCAGCAGUGGGGAAUAUUGCGCAAUGGGCGAAAGCCUGACGCAGCAACGCCGCGUGCGGGAUGAAGGCCUUCGGGUUGUAAACCGCUUUCAGCAGGGAAGAAGCGAAAGUGACGGUACCUGCAGAAGAAGCACCGGCUAACUACGUGCCAGCCGCCGCCGUAA